GAUGAACGCUGGCGGCGUGCUUAACACAUGCAAGUCGAACGGAAAGGCCCAAGCUUGCUUGGGUUCUCGAGUGGCGAACGGGUGAGUAACACGUGGGUGAUCUGCCCUGCACUUCGGGAUAAGCCUUGGAAACUGGGUCUAAUACCGGAUAGGACGAUGGUUUGGAUGCCGUUGUGGAAAGUUUUUUCGUUGUGGGAUGAGCUCGCGGCCUAUCCGCUUGUUGGUGGGGUAUUGGCAUACCAAGGCGUCGACGGGUAGCCGGCCUGAGAGGGUGUACGGCCACAUUGGGACUGAGAUGCGGGCCAGACUACGACGGGAGGCAGCAGUGGGGAAUAUUGGACAAUGGGCGCAAGCCUGAUGCAGCGACGCCGCGUGGGGGAUGAAGGCCUUCGGGUUGUAAACUCCUUUCGCUAGGGACGAAGCGUUUUUGUGACGGUACCUGGAGAAGAAGCACCGGCUAACUACGUG
This 468-nucleotide ribosomal RNA is filed under the name uncultured bacterium. RNAcentral's name for it is "partial 16S ribosomal RNA". It matches the Rfam family "Bacterial small subunit ribosomal RNA", at positions 28 to 507 of the family's 1533-position model. The record is from RNAcentral.